UUUAAACGAAGCUUUAUAUAGCACUUGACUGUUAAUCAAGAGAAGCCUGUUAAAACAUCGGGUCGUUUGAAU
Molecule: transfer RNA, 72 nt
Filed under: Platevindex sp. CL-2014
Lineage: Eukaryota; Metazoa; Mollusca; Gastropoda; Systellommatophora; Onchidiidae
Description: tRNA-Asn
Rfam family: tRNA
About the family: Transfer RNA (tRNA) molecules are approximately 80 nucleotides in length.
Source: RNAcentral